UGAAUUAUUUAUGAGAAAUAUUAAAGGUAAGUUAGGGCUAGCCAUGAAGGCUCCUUUGAUAGCCGCCCACUAUUUCCUCUUCUCCCUUUUCUUGGCUAAUUGCUUCCUUUUCUUGCUCUUUUUCAUUAUGUCUUAAAGCAAGUUGAUGAGACCAUUAUGCAAUUGGGUUAAUUAGUUGGGUAGGUUCUUUCUUUGGGAUUCUU
This 203-nucleotide long non-coding RNA is filed under the name Carica papaya (papaya). RNAcentral's name for it is "long non-coding RNA (CPAP_LNC013074)". The record is from RNAcentral. Lineage: Eukaryota; Viridiplantae; Streptophyta; Magnoliopsida; Brassicales; Caricaceae.